AGAAUCAACGCUGGCGGCGUGCCUAACACAUGCAAGUCGAUCGAGAAAGUGGAGCAAUCCAUGAGUAAAGAGGCGCACGGGUGAGUAACACGUGACUAACCUACCUUCGAGUGGGGAAUAACCUGGGGAAACCCGGGCUAAUACCGCAUAAUACCUACGGGUCAAAGGAGCAAUUCGCUUGAAGAGGGGUCGCGGCAGAUUAGUUAGUUGGCGGGGUAAUGGCCCACCAAGACGAUGAUCUGUA
This 244-nucleotide ribosomal RNA is filed under the name uncultured bacterium. Its description in RNAcentral is "partial small subunit ribosomal RNA". It matches the Rfam family "Bacterial small subunit ribosomal RNA", at positions 26 to 285 of the family's 1533-position model. The record is from RNAcentral.